CUAUUCUGUGUAAUUUUCCAUCAAUCGGAUGAAUGGAAAUGUAAUGAUAGAUCAUGCUACCAAAAUAAGUACAAUGCUAUAUUUGAAUAAGUUUUCGAAAACAAUGAAAAUACAAUCUUAUAUCCACGUAGUUUUAAAUGAAAGUGCAAUGCAAUCUACAAUAAAUACAGAAAGAACAUCUUCAUACUUACCCCAUCCCUCCACCGUCUUCUUCGAUUUCAUUAACAAUAAAAAUGUCAUCUAAAUGCAAAAACAAAAGUUAUAAAAAUAUUUUUUUAAAUAUAAAGAAAAUAGAUUUACAAACAAAAGUGAAACAGAAAUAUGGUUUUGCUCCACUGCCAUUUAUCAAGGCUUUGAUUCAAUUAGUGUAGGAGAUCAAUUUAAUACCUUAUUGUGCCUUUAAAAGUUGCCUUGAAUCAAUUGGAUUCUGUACGGCACAUCUUCAAUUACGGAAAUCACACGACAUAGGACAUACGUUGCAUUAAAGCCUUGUUUCUUAAAAAAUAGUUGAAUUAUUCGUGCAUCAAAGUCAAGCUCAUAGCAAAAACCCUUAAAACAUAAUAAUCAAAUCAAUAAAAAGAAUUUAAGAAACAAAAAAAAACUAAACUGGUUGUUGAUAAGAUUACCCUAAAUUAGACUUUGCACAAACAAAUGGUCACAUCGUUGUGUUUAUUUAUCCAAAACUAAAUAACCAUAUUUGAAACUCAGUCAAUCCACAAUCACCAUUUACUACCGACUGAAGUCGAAAAAGCCACAUGAACAUCACAUGGACCCAACCAUUAAAAGUCUAUUCAAUUUACUGAAAAUUUAAAAAACAUAACCAAUCAAUUAAAAAAAAACUUAUAAAGAAGCUGAAAACAAAUCUGGAAAGCAAGAGAAGCAACGAAAGGGUAAAACAGAUAAAGUUGAAGACAGGUUCGAGAAUUUUGUAAAGCUCAUUCUAAAUUGUACCUGGAGGAAUGGUUGGCAUGAGCUGAAUCGGAGGAACAGACCGGUGUUGUCUCUAUUUUCCCGGUAGAACAACCUGCAAAUGUAGAAGAAAUGAAAAAACAAAAGUUAUCUUUUUUUAUUCAUGGUGAAAGAGUAAGGGUAAAUUGGGAAAUGGGAAUGAUAAUCAUUAACUGAAAGUUAAGAUUUUGCAACAUUUCACUUUGAUAAUUUUACCUAAUCAUAGCAAUAUCAUUGACAUACAAAACAAUCCUCGUUCCAAAUAUCCAAUAAAGCAAUGAUUGUACUCUGUUUUGAACACCAAGAAACAAAAUACAUAAUUAAAAAAAGGAGCACAAAUAAUAAUAAUAAUAAUAUCAAUAUAAGGCCGGUAUAUAGUUUAUUUCUAUAUCUCAUAUUUCACUUUUUCUAUGUAUAAAAUAUCUUUUUAAUACAAAAUUGGUUCCAAAUAAACGUCAAUGUAUAUUUUCUCCAUUUUUGCGGCCCAAAACAUUAAUUUUAAGAUAUUUUUCUAUUUCAUGUAAAUUGGACAGAUAUUAUUAUGAAUGCAAUGAUGUAUUAUUGUAUCAUGUAUCUAACCUGUAAGCAAUUUCAUCCAUGAAAGUUCUUGCAAUACACGUGGAGGUUGUUGAUGCAGCCCAAAAUAUUAAUUACUCUGUAUUUUGAAAUAGUUAAGUAUCAUAACAUAACUACAUCCAUGUACCUUUAUCUUUCAUAGGCUUUAAGUCACUUCUUACUCUAUGGUAAUGUAAUUUUUCACUGGAAUUGGAGUUUGAAAGAAAAGAAAAAUGGAAAAGCUCAUGUUUGACCUAAAUAACAGUGUAUGUGGAAGCCUCGUUGACAUCCACCUAUAACCAAAGGGUUCUAUAUUCAAUUAUUUACCUUCAUGGUCAAACAUUUGAUCAUUAUGAUGAAUUCAAGGUUAUUAAUUUCAUAGAGUGAUCCAGUCAGGAUAGGCAUAUCCAAGAAUUCACCCACUUAAAUUUUUCACAGGGUACCCAAAAGAUUCUAUUUUAAUAUAGUUUUAUAAGGUGAACAAUUUACAUAAUAGAAGAACGGUAACAUUUAACAUGCUCUUUCUUAAAAAAGAACCACGAACAAACCAUGUUAUGCUUCCAGAAGAAACCGCUCCCCCUCCAUCAAGUGACAACAUCAAGGACUCUACAAUAAGAAAAAUUCAAUUUUAGUAAUCCCUAAUAUGGAACAUUGAACAAAAUUUCAUCAAACCUCCACAGAAGAAACAUGAAUAAGGUAGCUAUUGGGCGAAGGAAACGACAGUGUUUAUAGUGCGGAGUUUCUGUGGUGUGGAAUAGAGAAAGAAAAAGAAAAGAACAGUGGAAUUAAUUGCAGAUGGUUACGAUGAAGCCAUUUGAUGUGAAGAUCAAUGCAUUGCACUCAAAACUUCGAUUGAAUAUCGAGCUGUUUGAGAGAAGCGGUUGGUGAUGUUCAAUCUCUAGAUGAUGUCGGUCGUAGAAGAGCUGAAUAUUCGAGGUGUAGAAGAAAAGGAACAUAGUGAGGUGGUGGUUUGGAGGCAGCUAGGGAAUGCAAGGAACGACAAACAAAUUAGAAGGGUGGAGAAAAUACCUUUCAAUCAUCGUCGACACAGGUGGUGGCUUCCGAUGGUCAGACAUACGAAGAAGAAACAAAGAGAAGGGUUGGAUGAGAAGCGGUGGAAGUACUGCAACAUCAGCAACCCACCGACGGAUCCUGCAACUCACCGACGGAGGCUUUGGCGGAGGCGGUGUCGCAACAGAGAGGUUUGGUGGAGAACGAAGAAGAAGAUUUGUGUCAUUGUUUUCCACAUUUUUUUAAUUCCAAAUUUUUUCUAAAAUAUAAACACACACCGACUCCACUCCAUCCACCUCUACCUACCCCUACCCACACACACACAUACAUACCCACCCCCACACACACUCACCCGCACACACACAGACACACACACACACACCAACCCACAAACACACACACACACACACCAACCCACACACACACAUACAUACCCACCCCCACACACACACCCACAAACACACACACACACACACACUUACAUACAUAUCCACCCAGACACACACCCACCCCACAAACACACACACACACACAUACCCACCAAUGCACCUACACCCACACAAACACACUCACACACAUACCCACCCACACCCCCACAAACACACACCAACACACACACAAACCCACACCUACCUCCACCCUCACAGACACACACACCCACACACACAAACCUACACCUACCCCCACAAACACACAUAUACACACACAAACACACACUCGGACCCCCACCAACCCAACACCACCACGAUAAUCACCAACCUACCAUCACCAUCACCACCCCCACCACCACUAACCCGUCACUAGCACCACCACCACCGCNN
Molecule: long non-coding RNA, 3335 nt
Filed under: Lactuca sativa (garden lettuce)
Lineage: Eukaryota; Viridiplantae; Streptophyta; Magnoliopsida; Asterales; Asteraceae
Description: long non-coding RNA (LSAT_LNC002213)
Source: RNAcentral